This is a long non-coding RNA of Apis florea (little honeybee), 874 nucleotides long. RefSeq lists it as uncharacterized. Lineage: Eukaryota; Metazoa; Arthropoda; Insecta; Hymenoptera; Apidae. The record is from RefSeq and is a predicted model, not a curated record.
AUGUACUAUGCCUCAAGCAUCUUUCGCUCAAAGAGGAAUCCGAAAAGCUAUAAGAGAAGAAGUUGGUUGGCUUUAUCCUCCUGACACAGAAAUACCUGCAACGAGCUCGUGCAUCACCGAAAUUUCGUCGAGCCGUAGUAGUCAAGAACGAAGAACGAAGAUUUGUGAGAUAAGAUCAGGCCUCACCUGGAUUAUCGGAUGUAUCGGUAACAUCGGCUGUACUACGUAAAUCGGUUGAUUCUUCGGUACAUGGUUCUGUGCUGUGACCCACUGGUGGACCAUGUUGCGAGUCUUCAGUCGACCGUCGCUUGCAAUUUCGUCGACAUUGUUUGCUCGAAGACACCCGCAUAGUUUAGGGGUUAAAGUUAAGCAAAUGUAACCAGAAACUAAUAAUUCGGCCACGCUAGCUAUCAAUAAUCCAAUGCUAGCCAAUAUACCUGCCCAGGUACCCUCUAUUUCUGCUGCGUCUCCAUCUUCAUUCUUUAACAGUUGAGAUCAUUGACCGGAAGAGGUGCGUUCCACAGCGUUCAAGAUUCAGAGGCAGGAGGCAAUUUGUGAAAUUUCACGAUGCCCUGACCGCAUUUUAGCCUUGGCAUUGGAAACUUUCUCUGACGGUCAAACGGUUUCAACGGCCCUGUUCUGGUUGGUCUGAGACGCCAAAACCCGUCGAUCUGAUCGGUGAACGAGAAAAUGAUCAAGAACGAAUUUGGGCCACCAAUACCGCUUAUUAAUUGAGUUUUAAAUACGUACAAUGUUACAAUUAUACAGCAAUGUUCAGAAGAAAAAAGAAAUGCAUAGAAAAAAAGAAUAACUAGUGAAAGUACAGACAAUACGUACCGGAACAGUGAGCAAGGUCACUUCCGGUGUUCUCUGG